GAUGAACGCUGGCGGCGUGCCUAAUACAUGCAAGUCGAGCGAACGGACGAGAAGCUUGCUUUUCUGAUGUUAGCGGCGGACGGGUGAGUAACACGUGGAUAACCUACCUAUAAGACUGGGAUAACUUCGGGAAACCGGAGCUAAUACCGGAUAAUAUUUUGAACCGCAUGGUUCAAAAGUGAAAGACGGUCUUGCUGUCACUUAUAGAUGGAUCCGCGCUGCAUUAGCUAGUUGGUAAGGUGACGGCUUACCAAGGCAACGAUGCGUAGCCGACCUGAGAGGGAGGUCGGCCACCCUGGAACUGAGACACGGUCCAGACUCCUACGGGAGGCAGCAGUAGGGAAUCUUCCGCAAUGGGCGAAAGCCUGACGGAGCAACGCCGCGUGAGUGAAGAAGGUCUUCGGAUCGGAAAACUCUGUUAUUAGGGGAGAACAAAUGUGUAAGUAGCUAUGCACGUCUUGACGGUACCUAAUCAGAAAGCCACGGCUAACUACGUG
RNAcentral lists this ribosomal RNA (497 nucleotides) under uncultured bacterium. RNAcentral's name for it is "partial 16S ribosomal RNA". It matches the Rfam family "Bacterial small subunit ribosomal RNA", at positions 28 to 507 of the family's 1533-position model. The record is from RNAcentral.